RNAcentral lists this ribosomal RNA (443 nucleotides) under uncultured bacterium. RNAcentral's name for it is "partial 16S ribosomal RNA". It matches the Rfam family "Bacterial small subunit ribosomal RNA", at positions 338 to 795 of the family's 1533-position model. The record is from RNAcentral.
CCUACGGGUGGCAGCAGUGGGGAAUAUUGCACAAUGGGCGAAAGCCUGAUGCAGCAACGCCGCGUGAAGGAAGAAGGGUUUCGGCUCGUAAACCUCUAUCAACAGGGAAGAAAGAAAUGACGGUACCUGCAUAAGAAGCCCCGGCUAACUACGUGCCAGCAGCCGCGGUAAUACGGAGGCUGCAAGCGUUAUCCGGAAUUACUGGGUGUAAAGGGUGAGUAGGCGGCAUGGUAAGCCAGAUGUGAAAGCCUUGGGCUUAACCCGAGGAUUGCAUUUGACACUGUCAAGCUAGAGUACAGGAGAGGAAAGCGGAAUUCGUAGUGUAGCGGUGAAAUGCGUAGAUAUUAGGAAGAACACCAGUGGCGAAGGCGGCUUACUGGACUGAAACUGACGCUGAGGCACGAAAGCGUGGGGAGCGAACAGGAUUAGAUACCCCAGUAGUC